AGAAAAAUAGAAAUCGAUUUGUCGGAUCGGCGGUGUUUGAAAAACAAUUUUUACGUUCUAUUUGAGUGGUAGGCAGUGAAAGAACCAGGCACAAGUAUUGGGGAACCGAGCACUUUCUAGAAGUGCUGCUGCGGGGAAAUAAUCAUCCUUGCGGAAUCGUCAAUUCCUGGCGGACCAGUGUCUUUCCGGUCUUUCGCAAACCCGGAGGAUGACCGCUUCAUUUAUCACGGCCAACCAUCCUUCACCUGAAUCACAUAUCGUACGCGAUCCCGAGGAAAAGUGCAUUAUUUAGGUGGCUGCCAUGGAUUCGACGCCCAGUGUUGAUCUGAAUGCAGGAGUAAUUAUAAUGUAAGGAAUGACUCCGACUCGGUUGUAUUGUCUAUCCGAGUCAUUGCUGUAACGUCGCUCAACCGGCGCCAUCGAUGGACUAGUGAGCGCUUUUCAGUUUAGUGUUGAACGCAUUAAGGUUAUUCACAAAUUUCAUAAU
This is a long non-coding RNA of Aedes aegypti (yellow fever mosquito), 487 nucleotides long. RefSeq lists it as uncharacterized. Lineage: Eukaryota; Metazoa; Arthropoda; Insecta; Diptera; Culicidae. The transcript is spliced from 2 exons. The record is from RefSeq and is a predicted model, not a curated record.